This 1453-nucleotide ribosomal RNA is filed under the name uncultured bacterium. RNAcentral's name for it is "bacterial SSU rRNA". It matches the Rfam family "Bacterial small subunit ribosomal RNA". The record is from RNAcentral.
AUUGAACGCUGGCGGCAUGCCUUACACAUGCAAGUCGAACGGCAGCAUGAUCUAGCUUGCUAGAUUGAUGGCGAGUGGCGAACGGGUGAGUAAUACAUCGGAACGUGCCCUGUAGUGGGGGAUAACUAGUCGAAAGAUUAGCUAAUACCGCAUACGACCUGAGGGUGAAAGUGGGGGACCGCAAGGCCUCAUGCUAUAGGAGCGGCCGAUGUCUGAUUAGCUAGUUGGUGGGGUAAAGGCCCACCAAGGCGACGAUCAGUAGCUGGUCUGAGAGGACGAUCAGCCACACUGGGACUGAGACACGGCCCAGACUCCUACGGGAGGCAGCAGUGGGGAAUUUUGGACAAUGGGCGAAAGCCUGAUCCAGCAAUGCCGCGUGUGUGAAGAAGGCCUUCGGGUUGUAAAGCACUUUUGUCCGGAAAGAAAUGGCUCUGGUUAAUACCUGGGGUCGAUGACGGUACCGGAAGAAUAAGGACCGGCUAGCUACGUGCCAGCAGCCGCGGUAAUACGUAGGUUGCAAGCGUUGUCCGGAUUUACUGGGCGUAAAGCGCGCGCAGGCGGUCUCGAAAGUCGAAUGUGAAAGCUCCCGGCCCAACUGGGAGAGGCCGUUCGAAACUUCGAGACUUGAAGGCGGGAGAGGCAGAUGGAAUUUCCGGUGUAGCGGUAAAAUGCGUAGAUACCGGAAGGAACACCAGUGGCGAAAGCGAUCUGCUGGCCCGCCCUUGACGCUCAGGCGCGAAAGCUAGGGGAGCGACCGGGAUUAGAUACCCCGUUAGUCCUAGCCGUAAACAAUGGGCACUAGGUGUUGUCGGUAUCGACCCCGGCAGUGCCGAAGCUAACGCAUUAAGUGCCCCGCCUGGGGAGUACGACCGCAAGGUUAAAACUCAAAGGAAUUGACGGGGGCCCGCACAAGCAGCGGAGCGUGCGGUUCAAUUCGAUGGUACGCGAAGAACCUUACCCAGACUUGACAUGCAAGUGGUAGGGACCUGAAAGGGAACCGACCCGCAAGGGAGCUUGCACAGGUGUUGCACGGCUGUCGUCAGCUCGUGUCGUGAGAUGUUGGGUUAAGUCCCGCAACGAGCGCAACCCUCGGGAUCUGUUGUAUCACUCAGAUCCGACUGCCGAGAGAAACUCGGAGGAAGGUGGGGAUGACGUCAAGUCAGCGUGGCCUUUAUGUCUGGGGCUACACGCACGCUACAAUCGCCGGUCACAACGGGUUGCGACUGCACAAGCAGAAGCUAAUCCCCUAAAACCGGCGUCAGUUCAAAUCGAAGGCUGCAACUCGCCUUCGUGAAGUCGGAGUUGCUAGUAACCGCAGGUCAGCACACUGCGGUGAAUAUGUUCCCGGGCCUUGUACACACCGCCCGUCACGUCAUGGGAGUUAGUAACACCCGAAGCCGGUGGGCCAACCGCAAGGAGGCAGCCGUCGAAGGUGGGACUAGCGACUGGGACG